Molecule: long non-coding RNA, 372 nt
Organism: Centruroides sculpturatus (bark scorpion)
Lineage: Eukaryota; Metazoa; Arthropoda; Arachnida; Scorpiones; Buthidae
Exons: 3
Source: RefSeq, a predicted model, not a curated record
UAUUUUAAAACAUCUUAUAAAUUUUAAGUUCGUUAUUAAUAUGUUUUUAAACACAUUCGAUUUAAUCAACCUUCGAUAAUAGCGGACACCAACUAUCUCCCGGUAGUUCGUUAAAUCGAGAGUUUACUGUAAUUUAUUUUGGAGCACUUGCAAUGUUCUUGAAAAAAUUAGCCUCUGUUUAGAGGUAACCGUUGUAGGAAGAUGAAAUUUAUUGGAUGUUUUGAAAUUAGUUUCAUUUUAUAAGUUUAUGAAAAAAAAGCAAGCGCUGGACUCUCCUGGUACUCAAACUGAAGGUUAAGGAAACCAGAAAGGAAGUCUAAUAAUUUUCAAUUAUACUAUGAAAUAAAAUUUAAAUAAUAAAAAUGUUAAAGG